ACGAACGCUGGCGGCGCGCCUAACACAUGCAAGUCGAACGAGCGAGAGAGAGCUUGCUUUCUCGAGCGAGUGGCGAACGGGUGAGUAACGCGUGAGGAACCUGCCUCAAAGAGGGGGACAACAGUUGGAAACGACUGCUAAUACCGCAUAAGCCCACGGCUCGGCAUCGAGCAGAGGGAAAAGGAGCAAUCCGCUUUGAGAUGGCCUCGCGUACGAUUAGCUAGUUGGUGAGGUAACGGCCCACCCAGGCGACGAUCGGUAGCCGGACUGAGAGGUUGAAAGGCCACAUUGGGACUGAGACACGGCCCAGACUCCGACGGGAGGAAGCAGUGGGGAAUAUUGCAGAAUGGGGGAAACCCUGAUGCAGCGACGCCGCGUGGAGGAAGAAGGUCUUCGGAUUGUAAACUCCUGUUGUUGAGGAAGAUAAUGACGGUACUCAACAAGGAAGUGACGGCUAACUACGUGCCAACCGCCGCAGUAA
Molecule: ribosomal RNA, 481 nt
Filed under: uncultured bacterium
Lineage: Bacteria
Description: partial 16S ribosomal RNA
Rfam family: Bacterial small subunit ribosomal RNA
Source: RNAcentral